GACAGAGGCCCCAAGCGUUAGGCGGAAUCACUGGGCUUAAAGCGUGUGUAGGCGGAUCGUUAAGUGUCUUGUGAAAUCCCACGGCUCACCCGUGGAACUGCUGGGCAUACUGGCGAUCUUGGGCCAACUAGGGGCAGCCGGAACAAGCGGUGGAGCGGUGAAAUGCGUAGAUAUCGCUUGGAACGCCGAAGGUGAAAACAGGCUGCUGGGAGUGUGCUGACGCUGAGACACGAAAGCCAGGGGAGCAAACGGG
This 253-nucleotide ribosomal RNA is filed under the name uncultured bacterium. RNAcentral's name for it is "partial 16S ribosomal RNA". It matches the Rfam family "Bacterial small subunit ribosomal RNA", at positions 524 to 776 of the family's 1533-position model. The record is from RNAcentral.